Molecule: ribosomal RNA, 402 nt
Filed under: uncultured bacterium
Lineage: Bacteria
Description: bacterial SSU rRNA
Rfam family: Bacterial small subunit ribosomal RNA
Source: RNAcentral
UGGGGAAUCUUCCGCAAUGGACGAAAGUCUGACGGAGCAACGCCGCGUGAGGGAAGACGGUUUUCGGAUUGUAAACCUCUGUCUCUGGUGAAGAUAAUGACGGUAACCAGAGAGGAAGCCACGGCUAACUACGUGCCAGCAGCCGCGGUAAUACGUAGGGUGCGAGCGUUAAUCGGAAUCACUGGGCGUAAAGCGCUCGUAGGCUGUUUGUUAAGUCAGAGGUGAAAUCCCACGGCUCAACCGUGGAACUGCCUUUGAUACUGGCAGACUAGAAUCCGGGAGAGGGUGGCGGAAUUCCAGGUGUAGGAGUGAAAUCCGUAGAUAUCUGGAGGAACACCAGUGGCGAAGGCGGCCUGCUGGGCUUUAACUGACGCUGAGGCUCGAAAGCAUGGGUAGCAAACA